This 261-nucleotide ribosomal RNA is filed under the name uncultured bacterium. RNAcentral's name for it is "partial 16S ribosomal RNA". It matches the Rfam family "Bacterial small subunit ribosomal RNA", at positions 793 to 1055 of the family's 1533-position model. The record is from RNAcentral.
GUCCACGCAGUAAACGAUGAUAACUCGUUGUCGGGCGAUAUACUGCUCGGUGACCAAGCGAAAGCGAUAAGUUAUCCACCUGGGGAGUACGUUCGCAAGAAUGAAACUCAAAGGAAUUGACGGGGGCCCCGCACAAGCGGAGGAACAUGUGGUUUAAUUCGAUGAUACGCGAGGAACCUUACCCGGGCUUGAAAGUUAGUGAUCGACGGUGAAAGCCGUUUUCCCUUAGGGGCACGAAACUAGGUGCUGCAUGGUUGUCGU